RNAcentral lists this ribosomal RNA (237 nucleotides) under uncultured bacterium. RNAcentral's name for it is "partial 16S ribosomal RNA". It matches the Rfam family "Bacterial small subunit ribosomal RNA", at positions 99 to 334 of the family's 1533-position model. The record is from RNAcentral.
CGAACGGGUGAGUAACGCGUGAAUAACCUGACUCAAAGAGGGGGGAGUAACAACGGGAAACUGUUGCUAAUACCGCAUGAGACCACAACACCGCAUGAUGAAGGGGUCAAAGAUUUAUCGCUUUGAGAGGGGUUCGCGUCCCAUUAGGUAGUUGGAGGGGUAACGGCCCACCAAGCCAACGAUGGGUAGCCGAGCUGAGAGGCUGAUCGGCCACACUGGAACUGAGACACGGUCCAG